RNAcentral lists this small RNA (125 nucleotides) under Marmota monax (woodchuck). The record is from RNAcentral. Lineage: Eukaryota; Metazoa; Chordata; Mammalia; Rodentia; Sciuridae.
GCCAGGCACGGUGGUGCAUGCCUGUAAUCCCAGCAGCUCGGGAGGCUGAGGCAGGAAGACCGACAGUUCAAAGCCAGCCUCAGCAAAAGUGAGCACCUAAGUACCUCAGUGAGACCCUGUCUCUA